AAAGGGAGACUUCUAUAAGGAGUCGCAAGAGUGUAGAAAAUGGCUUUGAAACUAGAAAGAGGGUUCUGGGGCUAUUAGCUCAGGUGGUUAGAGCGCACCCCUGAUAAGGGUGAGGUCCCUGGUUCAAGUCCAGGAUGGCCCAGUUGGGGGUAUAGCUCAGUUGGUAGAGCGCCUGCUUUGCAAGCAGGAUGUCAGCGGUUCGAGUCCGCUUACCUCCAGAUGAACGAUUUAGCAUCUAUAGAAAUGGAAUGCUGAACGAUAGUUCAGUAAGAACCUUGAAAACUGCAUAGCGAAAAAAAAGUCUGAAAAAGUCUGUAUAGUAACAGAAUA
RNAcentral lists this transfer RNA (330 nucleotides) under Cyanobacterium sp. LLi5. RNAcentral's name for it is "16S-23S ribosomal RNA intergenic spacer". The stretch from base 146 to 218 matches the Rfam family "tRNA". Lineage: Bacteria; Bacillati; Cyanobacteriota; Cyanophyceae; Chroococcales; Geminocystaceae. The record is from RNAcentral.